Long non-coding RNA from Lathyrus oleraceus (garden pea), 738 nucleotides. RefSeq lists it as uncharacterized. The record is from RefSeq and is a predicted model, not a curated record. NCBI's taxonomy places the organism in Eukaryota, Viridiplantae, Streptophyta, Magnoliopsida, Fabales, Fabaceae. The transcript has 2 exons.
UUUCCACAAGUUAGGUAUCAGAAUUCCCAGGUCCAAACGCGAUGAGCAGCGUGAACAAUCUUCUCCAAUUGAGCUCCAUGAUUCUCACCCCCGCAUCUCGAAAUUUAAUCGAAGUUUGAAGCAAAAAUCAAAUCCUACUGGGAUGCAUCCAUCACGAUUUUGAAUCCAUCGUUCACGUCCGAACUCCAUUGAAGGUGAAUAGCAAAUGGCACACUAGAGGGAAACAAAUCAAGUAAUGCAGUUGAGCUAAGAGGCAUGGAAGAAAACUUAUGGUGAAUGAAUUCUAGCGCGAUGGCUAAGGUGAUGAGUUCGUUGUUCUUCAAUCUUCGUGUUCCGCCGUUGUCGUUCGUUCUUUGAUUUGUGCCAUUGAUGAUGAAGAAGGCGUGAUGAUCGAUGUUGAUUCGUAGUGAAGCAUUGCGUUGAAUUACCAAUGAGUCUGUGAUGAUGAUCAAAUUAUGAAAAGGUUUAUUUUUUAGAGUGGUUAUGGUUCGGUUGCAAAGUGAAGUUGGAAUUGGUUGAAGCUUGCUUGGAAUCUUGGAUUUAAUAGCUAUUCUUGGAAUUGGAUGAUGGAAUGCAAUGAAACUGUUUUGGACUUUUUCGCAUUGGCUCAUGUUGUAUAAUUGUAGGAUUUAUGUAGAAAAAUAUGUUGUAAACUUAGAAUAUGUAUGAAUGUAGUUAUGGAAUUUUGUAUGAGAUUAUUGAUUUUGAAAUAUGAUGAAAUGGUUGUAAUGGUUUGAA